AAUUGCUGUAAUUAGAAUGUUUCUUGCGGUCGCCGAUGACGAGAAAUUUAAUCUUGAAAGCGCUUCGUCAAUUUGGAAGCGAGUGGAUCCUUGAUAUAAGGAGGAAAAUAAAUAAGUAGAAAAUUUAGUCGAAAAUCGAAUUUGGCAAACGAUUGCUCACCAGGAUGAAUGGAAAUUCAGUGAUAAUCAUUUACAACAAAUCAAAAUUGAUGUAUUCAGAGUCAAAGAAGCGUUAUUUUUGGCACCAGAAGUGCAAGAACUGAUUUCAGGUGCGUGUUGAUCGUUCCGGAUAUAAAAAUCACAGUAAUUAUAGGUAGAAUUCAUGUAUUUAUUUUAUUUUUACACACUUUUCAAUUGUUCUACGAAUCUACUUUGGUUUUCGGAUGCCCUUUCGUAGAAUACAUAGAAGGCCCAAUGGCCGAGUAGUUAAAAUGGCACUCUACCACUCUGGAGGAUACGAAAUCGAAUCCGGACUGAAUCGAAAAAUUUCCAUGAAUUUUCGGGUUGGUCCGUUCCUAGCCUAGGUAUGUCAAGUUCUUCACCUCACCACUCUCAUUUACUUCAUUGUGGAUCAAGCGGAAACAAUAACGGGCUUGCCGGUGGCGCGUUAUACCUUCAUGGAACCCAGGUGAAUUUGAAUUAGGGUCUCCAAGUACAUUGUUGACUUCAGACAUUUUUCUUCGGGGGAUUUUUUGAGGGGAAAUAUAUUUCUUAUAAAUGAUCGUUUGGGGCUCCUUGUUGAUGGAGCCCCAGGAAAUUGCCAUAGGAGAUAACACGCUUCUGGGGCUUGCUAAGGAGGCUUUCUUUAGCAAGCUAAGGAGGCUUUUCAGAGCGGAAAGAGUAAAUAAAAAACUUGAAUAUUUAGU
Long non-coding RNA from Centruroides sculpturatus (bark scorpion), 866 nucleotides. RefSeq lists it as uncharacterized. The transcript has 3 exons. The record is from RefSeq and is a predicted model, not a curated record. NCBI's taxonomy places the organism in Eukaryota, Metazoa, Arthropoda, Arachnida, Scorpiones, Buthidae.